UCAAGAUAAGAUUUCCCACCGCAAGGGUAAGACCCCAGAAAGACUAUCUGGUUGAUAGGUCGAAGGUGUAAGUGCAGCAAUGUAUUUAGUUUAUCGAUGUAUUGAGC
Molecule: ribosomal RNA, 107 nt
Filed under: Clostridioides difficile
Lineage: Bacteria; Bacillati; Bacillota; Clostridia; Peptostreptococcales; Peptostreptococcaceae
Description: partial 23S ribosomal RNA
Source: RNAcentral